Molecule: ribosomal RNA, 1345 nt
Filed under: uncultured bacterium
Lineage: Bacteria
Description: bacterial SSU rRNA
Rfam family: Bacterial small subunit ribosomal RNA
Source: RNAcentral
GCUGGCGGCGUGCUUAACACAUGCAAGUCGAACGAAGCACUUAAGAAUGAUUCUUCGGAUGAAGUCUUAUUUGACUGAGUGGCGGACGGGUGAGUAACGCGUGGGUAACCUGCCUCACACAGGGGGAUAACAGUUGGAAACGACCGCUAAUACCGCAUAAGCCGACAGUAUCGCAUGAUACAGACGGAAAAGAUUUAUCGGUGUGAGAUGGACCCGCGUCUGAUUAGCCAGUUGGCAGGGUAACGGCCUACCAAAGCGACGAUCAGUAGCCGGCCUGAGAGGGUGAACGGCCACAUUGGGACUGAGACACGGCCCAAACUCCUACGGGAGGCAGCAGUGGGGAAUAUUGCACAAUGGGGGAAACCCUGAUGCAGCGACGCCGCGUGAGUGAAGAAGUAUUUCGGUAUGUAAAGCUCUAUCAGCAGGGAAGAAAAUGACGGUACCUGACUAAGAAGCCCCGGCUAACUACGUGCCAGCAGCCGCGGUAAUACGUAGGGGGCAAGCGUUAUCCGGAUUUACUGGGUGUAAAGGGAGCGUAGACGGUGAUGCAAGUCAGAAGUGAAAGCCCGCGGCUCAACUGCGGGACUGCUUUUGAAACUGUAUGACUGGAGUGCAGGAGAGGUAAGCGGAAUUCCUAGUGUAGCGGUGAAAUGCGUAGAUAUUAGGAGGAACACCAGUGGCGAAGGCGGCUUUCUGGACUGUAACUGACGUUGAAGGUCCAAAGCGUGGGGAGCAAACAGGAUUAAAUACCCCUGGUAGUCCACCCCGUAAACGAAAAAAUACUAGGUGUCAGGAAGCAAAGCUCUUUGGUGCGGCAGCCAAGGACAUAAGUAUUCCUCCUGGGGAGUACGUUCGCGAGAAUGAAAACUCAAAGGAAUUAACGGGGACCCGCACAAACGGUGGAGCAUGUGGUUUAAUUCGAAGCAACGCGAAGAACCUUACCAGGUCUUGACAUCUGGGUGACCGGGAAGUGACGUUCCCUUCUCUUCGGAGCAUCCAAGACAGGUGGUGCAUGGUUGUCGUCAGCUCGUGUCGUGAGAUGUUGGGUUAAGUCCCGCAACGAGCGCAACCCUUACCUUCAGUAGCCAGCGAGCAAAGUCGGGCACUCUGGAGGGACUGCCAGGGACAACCUGGAGGAAGGUGGGGAUGACGUCAAAUCAUCAUGCCCCUUAUGAUCUGGGCUACACACGUGCUACAAUGGCGUAAACAAAGGGAAGCGACCAUGUGAAUGCAAGCAAAUCUCAAAAAUAACGUCUCAGUUCGGAUUGUAGUCUGCAACUCGACUACAUGAAGCUGGAAUCGCUAGUAAUCGAAAAUCAGAAUGUCGCGGUGAAUACGUUCCCGG